GAGAGGCGGAGAAACAAAGUCGGAAAACAGAUUAAAACCAACGCUAGAAGCGGUACCUCGGUUUGCCAGUACUAUGAGAAAACUUAACCGAAGAAAAAAAAACGAAGAAGCCUGGAUACUAAAACAAGCUUUGAAGCAUUUGUUUGUCGAACACGAGUGAGGCUGGACGCUGAACACACCUGCGGCGCGAAGGUGUCACCACUUCGUCCACCACUUCGUCCCCGACCUCGUCCGUGAUCGCAGAGACAUGGUCCAUCUUCAGAGAGACAUUGUCGAGGAUGAGGGAGACAUUGUCCACCAUCAGAGACAUUGUCCAUGACUCACAGAGACAUGUGCUAAAGUUGGUGGUGACGGAGUUCCCCAAGUUGACUGCAUCACCCACGAUCAGAGAGACAGUGUCUAUGAUCACAGAGACGUAGUCCAUCGAUCACAGAGAGACUUCGUACAAGAAGUUCUUUGAGACCAGGGCAGAGGCCUCCAGGAAGAGAAGACGACAGCAGCUGAAGACCUGAAGUGGAUGAAAGAAAACAAAAGCGUUACAAAGCUGUUGCUUAGAUAAAAGACCACCACCAUCUAACUGCUGUAAACAGUGUUGGUUUCCUGUUGUUCAAGUGAAAACACUUUUCUCUACCAACUGUAAUGUAGUCAUGGGCACAUUUUCCAAAGACUAAUAUGUCUUUAUUAAGCACCUGUGAGAACAUUCAACUGCUUAUGAUACAACUAGUUAAUUAAUAAUUGUAUCACAGGCAGUUAGAUGAUCACAAAGAUGCUUAGUAGACACGUUCAUAUUUGCAAAAUGUGCUCAUAACAUUAACUCUGACCAGCUCUAACAAGUGUUUCCUUGUGGUCAAAUGCCUGUCAUUAUCUUUGCUCUGUUGUCUGGAAUAAAAUCAUUAUAAGUGUCUUUCUAAACUUUAUAUAUAUUUAAUAUAUUUUUGUAAGGUUUUACAUUCAUUGUUCAGAUAUUUUUUAAAGGUUUUAAUUAUAUUAUUAAAGGCGGCAAUUUUUUACAGGUUUCAUGCCUUAAUUCUUACAGGCUGAAUAUUUAAAGGUUUUAACCUUAUGUUUUAGACCCUUUUCUAUUAUAUUCUAAACUAAGGUUUGAGAUUUUCUGUUUUAUAUAUGUUAUACAUAUUUUUUAGA
Lates calcarifer (barramundi perch) is the source of this 1143-nucleotide long non-coding RNA. RefSeq lists it as uncharacterized. NCBI's taxonomy places the organism in Eukaryota, Metazoa, Chordata, Actinopteri, Centropomidae. The transcript is spliced from 3 exons. The record is from RefSeq and is a predicted model, not a curated record.